UGUCCAAUGUCUUUAAUACUUCCUUUAUUGGGCUUUCUGGAAUAUAUUCGAUGCCUAGUUAUGGAAGUCAGUGUGUUUUAUUUUAUUUUAUUGUAUGUAAAUGAAUGAAUAAAAAUGCAAUAGAAAAUGCAACGUAAAUGAAACCUUUUAGAAUUUGAAUUGUGUAAGGUGUCAUAGGGAUAGCUGUAUUUUCAGUUGUUUCCUCCUACCCUUGCCAAAAACAAAUCGUUCCAAUCAGUGACCCAAAGAAGUUAGCAUUUUUAAACUUUUCUCCAGGAAUGAGAAUUUGAAAAGGCUGCAAGAUUAGUUGGUGGUAUAAGAAUUCACUUUAUAAGGCACAUUAAGCAUUAAAUGAUGUCCAGUGAAGGAACAUUGUUGUAAAGUGUCAUCUUUGUUUUCAAUUCCCUCUGUGGCCUUGCCCCUGCUCUCAAAUAUCUUCUCAUCCCGCAACUGCCCCUGUUACCUGCUGUCAUCUAAUCUUUCAGUUCCUGAACUUUUACUGUUUCACUGUUGGUAGCUGUACCUAUAGCUGCUUGGGCUCUUACGCUCUGGUCAUUUGAUUGUAAUAUUUCCUUGUCUGGAUGGUUUGUUUGAUUAUGCUUUGAAAUGUGCUGGGAUGCUUUAAGUUAGAGGUGUAACAUUGAUAUUUGAUGUAUUGAUGUAAAGUAUUGAUAUUGUAAUCUUUGUGGUGUGUUCAAAGAAGCAGUUGAGAACAGAAGUGAAGAAUUCCAAUACUGAAAUGCUCUUUGCAAGUGUCACAUGUGCAAAAGCACAUGAUGAUCUGUUUGGUAUGUAUGUUGGCAGCUGUUCUGUGGUAUCUCAUAACCGCAUGCAGACACGUCAGAGCCCUAAAUGCAUACUUGCUUCGGUUAAUGGUAACCCUUUUUACUCAGGUGGAUUUGAGCUCACUGCAUGUUAAGGUUGUCAAUGAGCCAAAAUAUUCCAGCUUUGUGAACACGAUGGAAACAUCAUUAGCUGAAUGUGAAACAAGUAUAUGGAAUAUGCUGCCUGAGAGAGUGAGGAAAGAAGAUUCUAUAUAAGUUUCAGAAGAGAAUGGAUAUGCCUUAAGGGGGCAAUAUAGGGACAUGGAGGAAGAGCAGGGCAAUGGAACCAAUUGGAUAGUUCCCUCUAAGAGCCGGCGCAGCCAUCAUUGGCACGAGUGGCCUCCUGUGUUCUGAGACUUGAUGAGGUAGGUCAAUCAGUGUUACUCUUGCAUAUAGUUGCACUUAUGUCAUGGAGUUGGGAUAAGAACAUAAAAAGAAAAAGCGGGGUAGGGCAUUCAUCACCUUGAGCCUUGUAAGAUCGUGGUUGAUUUGGCCCAGGCUUCAACUAUAUCAUGUCAGCUCCUUGUAACUCUAACUCCUCAAUUUCUAAACUCUACCUACCUCCUCUUUAAUAUUUUAAUCUAGCUUCUGCAACUCUCUCUGGGUUAGAAGAUUCCAGACGUUUACUACCCUCUGAGAGAGGUUCCUUCACAUCUCUUUAAAAUCAAUAUUCCCUCACUUUGUAAUUGUUGUAGUUCAGAUUCUCUCAAGUAAAAUGUUUUCUCAAUCAACCUUGUCAAGAUCGGAGUCUUGGAUGUUUCAAAAAGAUCACCCCUUGUUAUAAAUUCCAAUAAAUAAAGGCCUUUUUUAAAAUCAACCCUUUCUUCCCAGGAAUCAGCUUAAUGAAUCUGUUUGAAAGACCUCCAAAGCCAGUAAUUCCCCAUUAAAUAUGGGAACGACAGUACUCCAGGUGUGCCACACAGUGUACAGUAUUAACAAGGCUACUCUAUUUUUAAAUUUCAAUGUCCAAGUAAUGAAGGCCAAACUUCCACUGCUUCCAUAUUUACUUGCUGAAUCUCCAUGCUGGCUUUGGUUUCUGUACAAUAUCACCAAUUCCUGAUGAAUUUUUUUGAAGUUUGUUUCCAUUAAAAUAAGAGUCUGCCUUUUAAUUUUUCCUAAGUGUAUAACCUCUCUUUCAUGUAUUCUAUCUGCCAUAUUUUUGCUUGCUUGCUCACCCUAUCCAUAUCCCUUUGCAGAUGCCUUAUCUCAUCACAAUAUUCCCUCCCAUCUAUUUUAGUAUCCACAAAUUUGAAUUGAUUAGACUCUGGUCCCUCUUCAAAGUCAUGCACGUAGAUGGUAAAUACUGAGAUUCGAGUUGGUCCUGUGACAUUCCACAGAAAGCUGUGUCUUUCUGAACUGCAAAAGACUUCUUAAUCCUGACUGUUUAUCACACUAAAGACAAUCUUGAAGCCAUGCUAAUGUUAGCCCCAAUACAGAGAUCUUGGGCAGUUGCUUUAUAUGUGGGACGGGGGCAUCUUAUCAAAUGUCAUACAUUUGUUUUCCCCUUUAGCAACUCUGCUUGUUAUCCUCCAAAGAAUUCCAGCAAAUUUGUCAAAUGAUUUCUCUAUUACAAAGUUGUUUGAUUCUGAUUGCAAUAAGCUUUUUAAAAUUGUGCUGCUAUAGUUUUCUUUAUAAAUGGGCUCUGCCUAUCAUCUUUUUGGGGAAUGCUAGCUAGUUUGAAGUUUCCUGUUUUGUCUCCAACCUUCCCUUCAACAGCAACAUCACAUUAGAGGUGUUCUAAUCACUGGAAUCCUGUGUAUUCUGGAACAUUUCAGCC
Molecule: non-coding RNA, 2601 nt
Organism: Chiloscyllium plagiosum (whitespotted bambooshark)
Lineage: Eukaryota; Metazoa; Chordata; Chondrichthyes; Orectolobiformes; Hemiscylliidae
Source: RefSeq, a predicted model, not a curated record